GUCUCAGGUGUCAUAUAAAUAGAGCGGGACGGAAAUACUUCGGUUUGCCCCGGCGGCCGUCCCGUGGCGUCGCAUCGGCUGGCUGCCCUUACAGAACGAGAAGUCCACAAAGCGGUUGCGAACAGACUGCCAUUAGUAUGCAUCAGUGUGCCACGGUCCUACUGCAGUGUGCCAGAGUAUUUUGGUCGGACUUUCGGUCAACCUGCUGGUCUCCUCAGAGUAUGCCGUUGGCUGACCAGUAUGCCCCCAGUCCAUCCAGUCCGCUCACCACUGGGCAUCAACCUAGUCAACCCCCAGUCUGCCUCGGUGGACUAGUCGGACUCUUCCCAAACUCUUUGAAUCUAGGGAAGAGAGCCGCGAUAGAGUUAUAAGUUAAAUAUUUAGAAAUGGUCAGAUUGAAAAAAAACUCUGACAGAAAUUAAAAAUAAUUAAUAAUCGGCUUUUUUCGCCUUUCCGCCGUGUCGGUAGGCAACCCAUCAACCUUCGUGGGUUCAUUACUUGUGGCCGUUGUUGUAAUCGCAAAGGUGCGCGAUGAACAGAAAACAUCUAUGCAAGUGUCGUCCAAAUCGCAAAAAGGGGACGUUUUUUGGGUUUUUUUUUGGAUGUUUUGUGGUCGAUGGAAUUUAAAAAGGUAAACACUUUAAACGUCGCGCGUCGUCUGCUGAGUGCGAUCUCUCGAAAUCGAUUCACUCUUACCAACUUUGGUGCCUGACCAAUCUCGUCGAAGGCGCUUUGGGAAGGUCGUUUACUGCCUGUAUGUUGGCAGUCGUACAAAAACAUAAGUAGAGAGGUUAGUUUUCCUUCUGCUUCCUUCGUGCUGUUUCGUACUCCCUUAGAAGUUUGUGUCACUGGCUUUGCAUAACUCGCAGUCGCCUUUGAGUAUGAAUUUUUCGCCGUAUUUCUUUGCCGUCACUUAUUUGCACCGCCCUUGACUGGAAGCGAAGCGUGUUUCAGUGCCUAGGCACCUUUCAAUGAAAGCGUUUGCACCAAACAUCCACUGUAAAGUUUCAUGCUUAUUCAAUUUGUGAUUAUUUUUCCAAGAUACAAAUGCUUUGAAUUUUAUAUUAUUUGACAUGUUUGAGUUGCUACCUUUCAGCUGCUUUCAGCUUGACACACUCUCACACAGCUUUAUGUGUACUGCCAAGCCUAUGUAUGUGGUUAUGUAAACAAUUGUGAACAUCUUAAUAACUUGUUCUAAAUCCUGUUUGCAGGGAUCAACAAUUGUCAACUCUAUGGUGAAGAGGCCCCAGCACACUGUGAUGUUAGAUAUCCUGCUCUGCUAGAGAGAAUUCACACGAUGGAGGGACUCCAACUCCAACCUCGCAGUGGAUCUACUUUCGGAAUCAAACGUCUAUUUUGAGGUCCAUGUCCUGUGCUGAAAUUCAAAGGGGGAUUCUUCACGGAAGAGAUGUCAUAAAGAUGAUUCAAUAAUUUUGUGUCACUUUAUUGAAUGUGUUUAAUUGUAACACUUGUUUCUGUUGUCAAUAUUUUAAAAUUUCAAUUUUUCGAUUUUACUGAACAUUAAAUAUGUUAAAAGACA
Molecule: long non-coding RNA, 1540 nt
Organism: Thrips palmi
Lineage: Eukaryota; Metazoa; Arthropoda; Insecta; Thysanoptera; Thripidae
Exons: 2
Source: RefSeq, a predicted model, not a curated record